ACCAUCACAACAACAUUAUAUCAUUUAGCCAAAUAACAGUUGCAGGUUCCACCCAGGAUCGCAGUCACAGCAGACAUAAAAUCAUUUCUUGUCGAGCAGGCUUCAAAUCCAAUCAGAAAGCAAUUGGUUAUCCCCCAUUCCCUUCAUGCCAUUAUUACAUUAUGUGCACAGCUUGCCUGACAGAUUGGUGUUAUAAUAUUUAGGGAUCACUGAAGGAUAUAAUCAGCUUUUUGUUUACAUAUGAAGAUCAUUGGGAACUUGUAAGAUUAUUCAGCAGGUAAAAGCACUUGCCUUGAAACCCUAAAGACACGACUUUGAUCCUUUGAACCUAUAGUGGAAAGAGAGAAUCAACCAACUCCUGAAAUGUUGUUUUCUGACCUCCAGGCCUGUGCCAGGCAUUCCUGCACUCAUGUACACAUACCAUACACACAUACAUCAUACAUGCAGGAUGAUGAUAAAGAAGAUUAAAGAAAAGGAAUCAUUAGGAUUUUGAUACAAAUUACCUUGAAACUAUAGAUUGAAGAUAUCACUAUCUAUAUAAUAAUGUUUCCAGUCUAUGACUACAGAACAUUUUUCCAUUUAAGUUUUUAGAAUGUAGUCCCUUUUAUUAGGCAGACUCUCACUAAAUAGCUUAGCCUGGUCUGGAGCUCUACAUAGCCCAGCUGAUCUUAACUUGUGUUCUGAUUUCUCAGUGCCCUGAAAGAUAGAUCUAUAGGCAUGCACUUCUAGUCACUUUUUGCAAUUAAAAAUUACAUUUCAGAUCAUUUAUUACUAGUAUAUAGAAAUAUAACUGAUAAUUAUGAGUUGAGUGUAUAACCUGUAAUUUUGUUGAAUUAAUUUACUGACUUUGAUAGUUUUCUUGUGGGUUCUCUAAGAAUUGGUAUUAUGUAGGACCAUGUCAUAUCAUCUGUAAAUGAAAGUGCUUUUUCUCCUUUCUUCUCCCAUCUACUUUAGAAACAAAGUCUCAUGAUGUAGCCUAGACUGCCCCAGAGCUUCUGAUCCUCCUGCUCCACCGUCUGAGGGCUGGGAUUGUAGGGAUGUGCCAUUACAUGGUGCUAUGGAUUGAACCCAGCCCUUCCUGAAUGCUAAGCUAAGCAAGUACUGUACCAACUGAGCCACAUCCCAGCUCCUUCUUCCUUCUGUUUCCUUGUGUGUGUGUGUGUGUGUGUGUGUGUGUGUGUGUGUGUGCACGCGCACGCACACAAACAUGCAAACAUGCUUGUGUUUUUUUCAUACACCUCAGAGGCCAGAAGAGGGCAUCAAAUCCCUUGGAGCUAGAGUUGAAGGUGUUUGUGAGCCAGCUGAUAUGAGUCCUGGGAAUCAAUCUGUGCUGAGCCAUCUCUCCAGUCCUGCCUCUUUCUGUUAUUACUUGCCUACAUUUUUUUCUUAUCUACUUUCCCUGGCUAGAAUGUCCAGUACAGUGGUGAAGAACAGUGGUGAAAAACGAGUCAUUGUCUUGCUCCUCACUUUCCUGUGAACAGUUUUUAGUUGUUUUUUUUAACUACUUAAUGUGUUAGAUGUGAGUUUUCAUGUAUGCCGUAUCAUGUUAAUGAAGUUCCUUUCUAUGCCCAAAUGUAUGGGCAGGUUUUAUUAUGAAAGGGUAUCACAUAUCAAUUGCUCAAUUGCCUUUUGUUUUUACAUCAAUGGACAUGAUCCAUUAAGUGGAGGUUUAUUACUGUUGAUGUAGUUCAUAGUCUCUCCUAGUUCAUUUCCUGAUGCAAGAACAGAAUGGCACAGAUUGGGUACAUUUUUAACAAUAGAAUUUAUAUGUCUUGUGGUUCUGAAGGUUAGAAAUUCAAAUGAAGGAAAAAAAUGGAAUUGGCCAUAACUUUCUUGCUUCAUGAUAACAUGGAGGAAGGACAAGUGGCCCUGAACCUAGGCUAGUCUCCCAACUCUUCCCCAAGCCCCCUAACUACAAGAAUUACAAACAUGUGUGUCCUUCCAUGUCUGGCUUAAGGUUCAACUUCUUUUUAAAUUUAAUAUAUUUUAAUUUUGUGUAUGUAUGGAUGUAUAUGGAUGUGUAUAUGUGAGUAAAGCCACCCAAAGAGGCCAGAAGAGGGAAGCCAUCAUCCUAGAUUCAUCCGUUGUCACUGUAGACCUUCAGUUAGAUUUCAACCUCUGAAAUUAAGUUCAUGGAGACUUAUUUUAGAAGACUAUUGGGGUUGAGGGUUUUUGUUGUUGUUGUUGUUGUUGUUGUUGUUGUUUGAUAUAGUGCCCUAUAUAUGUUAAGUCUGACUUUUUAAGAACCUAUUUCUAUUUUUAGCUAUAUAUAUAUUUGUAUGCAAGAAUAUAUACUUCUAUAUUUAUAUUUAGGAUAUCUUUGCUGAGCUCAUUUAUAGAUAUUUUAUUCACUUUUGGGUAUGGUAUUUGCAGAGAAUAUCCUGUGGGAGUUGGUUCUCUUUGUCAAUCAUAUUGAGUCCUGAGGCUUGAACUCAGGUUGUCAACCUAACUGCUAAGCCAUUUCACUGUCUUUCCCUGUCUUACACUGUAACCCCAUUCUCUCUAUACUUUCUUCCUUUUCUCUUGGGAAAAUAUACAUAUUUUUUCCAAUGGAAGGACAAAAAGUAUUUUACCAACUCCGCCCUGAUAUACUUUUUGAGCUACUCCCUAACUGUGUAUCCCAACAGUAAAGUUGUCCUUGUGAUUUCUUUCUUAUCUUUUAGUCUUGCCACGGUUUUAAAUCAGGCUUCUGUUCUACAUGAAAUUCAUGUUACAACAUUUUUCAGGGCCAUAGAAAAUUCUGCAAUCUUCGUGUGAUAAAUUAGGACCUCGGAGCCUUUUGUUUAGUGGGGUUUUAUUUCAAUGAGAUAACAUAGUUGAAGGAACUUCAUGUUCUCCAAAGCAUCUUACACGAGAACUUGCUAAAGAUUACUGAACCUGUGACCAAAUC
This 2890-nucleotide long non-coding RNA is filed under the name Mus musculus (house mouse). Its description in RNAcentral is "long non-coding RNA chrX:135763398-135766288". Lineage: Eukaryota; Metazoa; Chordata; Mammalia; Rodentia; Muridae. The record is from RNAcentral.